GCCGUCUACGUCGAUCUGAAGCCCGCCGCGGAGGACGGGGACGAGGUGGGGGAGGAGAUGCAGGUCGUAAGGAGAUGGGAGGCGCUGCAGUCGGUCCUGGUCGCGUGGACGCCGGGGUGGAUGCAGUGCGCCGGCGACGGCUCCAUUGUCCUCGACUCAUCAGAUCCAACCUCUUGCCCGCGCCGGCUGCUGACGGAGUAGUCGCUGAAGGGAGGCCCGUUCUUGCCGACCACUGGCGUUGCGCCGUGCUACCCAGCCUCUGCAACUGCGCCGUGAUGGGUACUUGAGAAGGUUGUCCUUCCACUCGAUGUUGCACCUCCAGCAAAGAGGGGAAUAUGCAUUGUGUUGCCAUCUCCUAAUGUUUGGUUCUCUCUGAAUUUCUGCAUCAUAAUACAUCGCCGCUGCAACCAAUUAAUUCAGCUUCUCGGACGAGUGUGCUUCGUAAUCCAGACAUGGAGAAGCUUUAGAAUGGUUACUUAUUCCCAGAGGAUUAGCAUGAGAUGUGAAGCACACCAGAAGAAGUACCCAGACGCCAAGGUCAUCAGUUUGGGCAUCGGUGACACGACCCAACCCAUACCAAGCAUCUUCACAUCUACCAUGACCGAGGCUUUGCCCUUUAGUAAUUUCCUUGUCGGUCUGCCCGUACAGGUAUCUAGGAUUAUUGAUGGUGACAUGGAUGAUUCCUGUGGUCUGGAGAAGGUUGCUUCCAGUCACUUGCCUGGCUAAAUGCCAAUGCAUGAGAUAGCAUUUGCGUCAAUUGAUAAGCCAGAGCUACUUAGUCAUGUAAACAAACUUAUAGGACAUGGUGAGCCAAGAUUAGUACAGUUCUUUACUGUUGAAAUUUGUAAGGGGAUUUAUGGAAGGUUUGUUUAUCUCUCCUCCCACUCCAAAUUUCAGUAUAACAUUUCUAGCACUGGCAUUUUUCCUCAAAAGUAUUUUUGCCUACUUUCAUGGUAAGCAUAUUGUAGAUAGUAUUCCAUUAUCACUGAUAUUUUCCAGUUAUAGAUGUACAUGUAAUUCUGUUUCUAUAGAAAUAUGGUUGCUGCGUAGCAUAUUUUCUUACUAGAAGGUACUUAUGUUCCCACUGAAUGCUUAUUUUUUUCACGAGCUCCAACACAUUUUCGUUGGAAAUUCUAUUGGAUGGGUAGAUAUCUUGCUAGAUUUUAAGAUUUAGGAGCCCAAGAGCAAUGUACUAUUUUCUCCAAUAUGGAAAUGAAGUAUGCUGUGGGGGGAGGAUGUACUACAAACUGAUCUAAAAUAAAGAAAGAGCAAUCUUUGGGUGACAAUGAGAUUCAUGGAGACUCAAUGCAGAUUGUCUUUCCUUCCCGUUUGUUUCUUAUUCUUGUCAUCUCAUGUAGUAUAUGCUUUUGUGCUGAAUUACAUGGAAGGUCGAGAUGACCGCACCUACAUAAAUGUUUUUUUGCUAUUUUUCUUAAUGUAUGGAUGCCUACUGACCCUAAGUAUAUUUGUUUAAAAUGUUUACCUAUGAAGUUCCUAUGCUAUAUAAGAAAGUUGGUCUGAACUAUUUGAGGUCAUGUUCUAUUUUACAGGUUACUCGUAUAGUUGCAUAGCUGAUUCAGUUAUAGUAGUCCAGAACAAGUGUUUGUAUCUAUCUUAACUUUCAGGUUACUUGUAUUGCAUAUUGAUUGAUUUUGUGCAUGCUCCUACGCUAGAUUUUUUUUUGAAGUGUAUGUUUUUUUAAACAAGAAUUGUACAUAAGUGCCCUUAAGGAUUAUAAGCAAGAUAAGUGCGCACCGGACCGCCUCAAAUGACG
RNAcentral lists this ribosomal RNA (1774 nucleotides) under Triticum aestivum (bread wheat). RNAcentral describes it as "partial small subunit ribosomal RNA". The record is from RNAcentral. Lineage: Eukaryota; Viridiplantae; Streptophyta; Magnoliopsida; Poales; Poaceae.